GUGUAUAUAGCUCAGUUGGUUAGAGUGCCAGAUUGUGACUCUGGAGGUCGUCGAUUCAAAUUCGACUAUACACC
Molecule: transfer RNA, 74 nt
Filed under: Caudoviricetes sp.
Lineage: Duplodnaviria; Heunggongvirae; Uroviricota; Caudoviricetes
Description: tRNA-His
Rfam family: tRNA
About the family: Transfer RNA (tRNA) molecules are approximately 80 nucleotides in length. Their secondary structure includes four short double-helical elements and three loops (D, anti-codon, and T loops).
Source: RNAcentral